Sander lucioperca (pikeperch) is the source of this 218-nucleotide long non-coding RNA. RefSeq lists it as uncharacterized. The transcript has 2 exons. NCBI's taxonomy places the organism in Eukaryota, Metazoa, Chordata, Actinopteri, Perciformes, Percidae. The record is from RefSeq and is a predicted model, not a curated record.
CAGGUUUAGAUAUAAUCAUCUGAAUAUUAAAGUCCCAUUUUAUUCUGACUAUAAAGUUUAUUUCAGUUUUAAACCAUCAACUAAGUUGUUUACUUUGAUUCAUUAAAAGCUUGAAGUUGCUGCAGUCUGUUCCAGCUCAGUGUAACUCUGUUGUUCUUGAUCCGACCACCAGAUGGAGAUAAUGUGACAAGAAACUAAUAAAAGAAUAACUAACUAAA